CAGCAGGCGCGAAAACUUUACAAUGCUGGCAACAGCGAUAAGGGGACCUCGAGUGCCAGGAUACAAUCUUGGCUGUCGUAAUGCCUAAAAAGCAUUGCAUAGCAAGGGCCGGGCAAGACCGGUGCCAGCCGCCGCGGUAACACCGGCGGCUCGAGUGGUAACCGCUAUUAUUGGGUCUAAAGGGUCUGUAGCCGGCCGGAUAAGUCUUUUGGGAAAUCUGGCAGCUUAACUGCCAGGCUUUCAGAAGAUACUGUUUCGGCUCGAGGCCGGGAGAGGUGAGAGGUACUUCAGGGGUAGGGGUGAAAUCUUGUAAUCCUUGAAGGACCACCAGUGGCGAAGGCGUCUCACCAGAACGGUCCUGACGGCAAGGGACGAAAGCUAGGGGCACGAACCGGAUUAGAUACCCGGGUAGUCCUAGCCGUAAACGAUACUCGCUAGGUGUCGGUCACGGUGCGACCGUGGUCGGUGCCGUAGGGAAGCCGUGAAGCGAGCCACCUGGGAAGUACGGCCGCAAGGCUGAAACUUAAAGGAAUUGGCGGGGGAGCACAA
RNAcentral lists this ribosomal RNA (549 nucleotides) under uncultured archaeon. Its description in RNAcentral is "bacterial SSU rRNA". It matches the Rfam family "Archaeal small subunit ribosomal RNA", at positions 333 to 881 of the family's 1478-position model. The record is from RNAcentral.